This 444-nucleotide ribosomal RNA is filed under the name uncultured bacterium. RNAcentral's name for it is "bacterial SSU rRNA". It matches the Rfam family "Bacterial small subunit ribosomal RNA", at positions 355 to 796 of the family's 1533-position model. The record is from RNAcentral.
UAAGGAAUAUUGGUCAAUGGGCGGAAGCCUGAACCAGCCAUGCCGCGUGCAGGAAGACGGCCCUACGGGUUGUAAACUGCUUUUAUACCGGAAUAAACCUCUUUACGUGUAAGGAGCUGAAUGUACGGUAAGAAUAAGGAUCGGCUAACUCCGUGCCAGCAGCCGCGGUAAUACGGAGGAUCCAAGCGUUAUCCGGAUUUAUUGGGUUUAAAGGGUGCGUAGGCGGCCUAUUAAGUCAGGGGUGAAAGACGGUAGCUUAACUAUCGCAGUGCCUUUGAUACUGAUGGGCUUGAAUGUACUUGAAGUAGGCGGAAUGUGACAAGUAGCGGUGAAAUGCAUAGAUAUGUCACAGAACACCGAUUGCGAAGGCAGCUUACUAAAGUAUGAUUGACGCUGAGGCACGAAAGCGUGGGGAUCAAACAGGAUUAGAUACCCCCGUAGUCC